Long non-coding RNA from Rosa rugosa (rugosa rose), 1545 nucleotides. RefSeq lists it as uncharacterized. NCBI's taxonomy places the organism in Eukaryota, Viridiplantae, Streptophyta, Magnoliopsida, Rosales, Rosaceae. The transcript has 3 exons. The record is from RefSeq and is a predicted model, not a curated record.
UUAACCAAAACAGUUGGUGGCAAACACCUUUGUUAAAAGGAAGGGUGUUCCUUGAUUCAAGGCCGGUGUCUUAAUCAUCAUUCAUGAUUAUGCAUAAUUGAAUAAUCAUUCAAUCAUACCAGACAACUCUCUCUCACUCUCUCUGUCUCACGUCCGAAAACCAUCCAAGAAACAGAGCAAUCUUCAUCAACUCAUCUCUCCCUCCACCGACCACCAAUCAAGACCAGACCAGUUCCUAUAGUUCCACCUCGUUCUUGCGCAGCUACCAGUGGCAACCUUGCACCGCAACACGGCCGGCAGUGGCGGCGGAGGACACGGUUCCGUUUUGAGCUCGAUUUGGUUCUAUCUCGAUAUCUUGAGCUACAGGCCGCCAAUUCUCUUGAUUCUUGUCUCAUUGGAUUCGCCUCAACUUUCUGAACAAGCACCAAGAAGGACCAGACCUGGGAAGAACGAUUUCACGUUCAUCGGAGCUCGACUGGUUUAGAUCGACAAACAACCCUUCGAUCCGUGUAUCUCGAGUUACAGACCACCUCUUUAUGUGAUUCUUGGCUUAGUGAGUUCUUCUUGAAGUUCUGAACAACUCUCCAGAAGGAAUCGAAGCGUUUCGUUGAAGUUUUUACGUCGAAACUCAAGCUCGCCGGAUUCUGGAAUUUUUCCGACCACCGAAGCUUUCGAUCGGUAUAUCUCGAGCUACAGACCAUAUUUUUCUGUGAUUCUUGAACCAAUGAGUUCACCUUGAGUUUCUUAACAACUCUCUAGAAGGGAUCGAAGCCUGAAAUUGAAGUUUUGACGUCGAAAUCAAGCCUUGCCGGAUUCUGCAAAUUUCGCCGGAUUCUGGAAAUUUUCCGGCCACCUCGAUUGUUUUAGGUGAUUGACGGUCUCCCUUGGGUGAGCGAUUUCGGUGUGUAUUGUGUUAAAUUGAAGACGCAGCGGGAAUAUCGAGCGGGUAAUCCUGCAGGUCAGGAGAAUCAGGACGGUGAUCGUGCGGGUUAGAGAAUUUGUUUUAGUUUUACAGCAAUUGUAAUUGUGAGGUGAGUUAUGCUCAUUUGAGCCUUACAAUAUAAUUUGGUGAGAGUGUGCUGUAAUAAACAAAUUUGAGAUUUGGUUUAUGUAAUAUCGAGCGAUGUGAGGUGUGGUUGUUUUGAGAAAAAAUUCAGGUUGUAUUUAUGUGAGUUGUAUUAAUUCAUGUUUCGGAUUUGGAUUUGUUAUUCAAAAUCCGGGGCGUGACAGUUUGGUAUCAGAGCGUAAGGUACAUAUUUGGUGAUAAUCAGUACUCCCCGAGUGAUGGCCCGUCUGCAGCGGAUCCCCAUCGUAUACUCUUCGGUACUGGUAUAAUCAUUGGGUAUGUCUUAGUAUGGGGUCUAGACAGCGUGUAUGUCAGUAGGACGGUAGAGUUGUCUUCUAAGUUCGUAUUAGAAUAAGUUUAGUUUCCGCAGGUUGUAAUCUUUGAGGAAUGGAAACCUCCGGAUUUAACUCUGAUGAGUCAGUGAGGAUUGUUUAUGGAAAUGAGUUUCCUUUUGUAUGUAGAAGUGUUUGGUUGAAGGC